CACGCAAAUUACCCACUCCCGGAACGGGGAGGUAGUGACAAAAAAUAACGAUACGGGACUCGAUAUGAGGCCUCGUAAUCGGAAUGAGUACACUCUAAAUCCUUUAACAAAAAUCUAUUGGAGGGCAAGUCUGGUGCCAGCAGCCGCGGUAAUUCCAGCUCCAAUAGCGUAUAUUAAAGUUGUUGCGGUUAAAAAGCUCGUAGUUGGUUCUGCGUCCCGCGCUGUCGGUACACCGUUUGUCGGUGACACUGGCAUGACGCGGGAUGUCCUGUCGGUGGCGGCGGAGACCAUAUCGUCGUCGGAUAACACCGCGGCGUGUUGGCCUUCUGUCGCCGGCUAUAUCCUACCGCGGUGCUCUUCACUGAGUGUCGAGGUAGGCCGACACGUUUACUUUGAACAAAUUAGAGUGCUUAAAGCAGGCAAAAAUCUCUGCCAGAAUAGUGGUGCAUGGAAUAAUGGAACAGGACCUUGGUUCUAUUCUGUUGGUCUCCGGAACACAAGGUAAUGAUCAAUGUGGACAGGCGGGGGCAUUCGUAUUGCGGCGUUAGAGGUGAAAUUCUUGGAUCGUCGCAAGACGCACUAGAGCGAAAGCAAUUGCCAAGUAUGUCUUAAUUGAUCAAGAACGAAAGUUAGAGGUUCGAAGGCGAUCAGAUACCGCCCUAGUUCUAACCAUAAACGAUGCCAGCCAGCGAUCCGCCGAUGUUCCUUUGAUGACUCGGCGGGGAGCUUUCCCCGGGAAACCAAAGCUUUUGGGUUCCGGGGGAAGUAUGGUUGCAAAGCUGAAACUUAAAGGAAUUGACGGAAGGGCACCACCAGAAGUGGAGCCUGCGGCUUAAUUUGACUCAACACGGGAAACCUCACCAGGUCAGGACAUUGGAAUGAUUGACAGAUUGAUAGCUCUUUCUUGAUUCAGU
RNAcentral lists this ribosomal RNA (914 nucleotides) under Cimex hemipterus. Its description in RNAcentral is "SSU rRNA". It matches the Rfam family "Eukaryotic small subunit ribosomal RNA", at positions 433 to 1271 of the family's 1831-position model. The record is from RNAcentral. Lineage: Eukaryota; Metazoa; Arthropoda; Insecta; Hemiptera; Cimicidae.